UGCAUUUCUGUAUUAAGAGUAGGAAGAUCUCUUUCAGCGAGAGACUCAUUCACUUUGAUGCAAAUCUGAACGCCAAUAGCAUUCAGAGCUUCUUUCAAAUCAAAAGUUUUCUUGCUCAUGCCUUCAAGAAGAGGAACAGAGAUUCUUUUCAGUUGGUUGGCAAAAUCAGGCACGUUUACAAUUGCUGCACCCACCAUAUUGUUUGUUAUGAGACAAACACAAGCUAUGAUUUUUAAUUGAUUCAGCUUUUCUCUCAACUCCUGAAGACGAACUUCAUCUGUUAUUAGAGUCUCUGGAAUUGUUUUGUGGUAGUCCCAUUGUAAUAGUUUCAAGUAGCCAUUGUUUAGCACCAGUGUAGGACUAAUACUUGAUUUAGAACUAUGAUCAGCACCAGGGGAUGAGGAUGAUUCAUUGGAAAUGGAUGACAAUUCAUCUUCUAUUGAUUCCUUUAUCCAUUCUGUUGUGAGAUCCAGAGCACUUGGUGUUUCUUCAAGAAUUUCCUGGAAUUUUGUUCUUUCAUAGUCCACCAAAUUACGCCGAAGGUACGGUCUAAGGCUUUGAAUUGUGUAAUUUGCUACAUCCAUUUUCAUCAGGUCCAGGACAUGGAAGAUUUGCCUCAGUAAUUCUACAAUAUUUUCAGUUGCUUUUAACUGUUUUAUAUCGUUGUCUCUUAUUGGAGCACAUAAUUUUCCCAUAGUGUUG
Molecule: long non-coding RNA, 702 nt
Filed under: Gallus gallus (chicken)
Lineage: Eukaryota; Metazoa; Chordata; Aves; Galliformes; Phasianidae
Source: RNAcentral